Molecule: ribosomal RNA, 254 nt
Filed under: uncultured bacterium
Lineage: Bacteria
Description: partial 16S ribosomal RNA
Rfam family: Bacterial small subunit ribosomal RNA
Source: RNAcentral
UACGUAGGGUGCGAGCGUUGUCCGGAAUUACUGGGCGUAAAGAGCUCGUAGGUGGUUUGUCGCGUUGUUCGUGAAAACUCACAGCUUAACUGUGGGCGUGCGGGCGAUACGGGCAGACUGGAGUACUGCAGGGGGAGACUGGAAUUCCUGGUGUAGCGGUGAAAUGCGCAGAUAUCAGGAGGAACACCGGUGGCGAAGGCGGGUCUCUGGGCAACAACUGACGCUGAGGAGCGAAAGCGUGGGGAGCGAACAGG